This 53-nucleotide small RNA is filed under the name marine eukaryotic metagenome. Its description in RNAcentral is "Cyanobacterial functional RNA 1". It matches the Rfam family "Cyanobacterial functional RNA 1". The record is from RNAcentral.
GGGUUUAGGCCCACACACUCCUCACACACCAUGGCCCGGCGCGUUCGGGCUUU